UACAGAGGGUGCGAGCGUUGUCCGGAAUCACUGGGCGUAAAGGGCGCGUAGGCGGUCCGCUAAGUGUGUGGUGAAAGCUCGGGGCUCAACCCCGAGUCGGCCGUGCAAACUGGUGGACUUGAGCAUGUCAGAGGCAGGCGGAAUUCCGGGUGUAGCGGUGGAAUGCGUAGAGAUCCGGAGGAACACCAGUGGCGAAGGCGACACGCUGGGCCAUACCUGACGCUAAAGCGCGACAGCAUGGGGAGCAAACAGG
RNAcentral lists this ribosomal RNA (253 nucleotides) under uncultured bacterium. RNAcentral's name for it is "partial 16S ribosomal RNA". It matches the Rfam family "Bacterial small subunit ribosomal RNA", at positions 524 to 776 of the family's 1533-position model. The record is from RNAcentral.